UUCAUUUUUAGCCAUUUAGUUCUCAUGGCUCCGUUCCAGGACUCUUUAAUUUGCCAGUAGCUGUUUUUCCUACACAGAUUACAGGAGUAAUUCAUCAGUGAAUGUUUCACUCAGUGGUCCCAUCUAAUAAUGGAGCCUGGAGUGCAGGAAGCUGGUAUUUGUUUCACAUUGAUGCUAAUGGUGUGAGAUCUUUCUGCUGUUUGCUGUCUGGGAAAUAAAGAUAGUACAGCUCAUCGUAAGAGGUACUGAGCUGGAAAGUGAACCAGUGAGUCUGAGUCUCAAAGUGCAUCCCUAGCUGAAGACCUGGACUUGGAAUCCACAGACAAAUGCUAUUAUCUGAAACCCUAAAGUGGAAUAACAUUGCUCAAAGAAUACAGAAGGUAUCUGUUACAAUAAUGGAAAACUGACUGACACAAGAAAUUUUCUGAUCAGACACAUGAAGCAUAUGAGGAAGCAAUCAAGUGAAUAUUUAGGGAAAAGCCAUUUAAGCAGAGGGAAAGCAUCCUGGGAUGUCUAUGCUGGGAUAUUUUGGUGAAUUUGAGAAAAAAGCGCAGGAGGAAAAAAGGAUUUGAAACUGCUUGAGACUAAAAUGAUAAAAGAAAUCAAUGAAGUAAGACACAGACCACCUGAAAAUCUUCAGUGGAAGCACAAGUUGAGACAUGAUGUCAGAGAGGCAUUCUCUUCACGGAGAAGGCAUAUUAAGCUAUGCUAGAGCUGACUGCUCUUCCAAGCACUGUUGCUAGAUGCUUAGAAGAAUAAAAUCUUCCCUUCUGGUUGACCUUAAAAGCUGUCUUAUGCCAGGCCUUAAAUGUGAAAAUGUGAACAUAAAACAUUUUUUCAUUGAUCCCAUAAAAAA
Long non-coding RNA from Chinchilla lanigera (long-tailed chinchilla), 856 nucleotides. RefSeq lists it as uncharacterized. The transcript is spliced from 5 exons. The record is from RefSeq and is a predicted model, not a curated record. NCBI's taxonomy places the organism in Eukaryota, Metazoa, Chordata, Mammalia, Rodentia, Chinchillidae.